This 214-nucleotide unclassified non-coding RNA is filed under the name soil metagenome. Its description in RNAcentral is "partial contains 5.8S ribosomal RNA, internal transcribed spacer 2, and large subunit ribosomal RNA". The record is from RNAcentral.
AACGCACGAGACCUGCGGACCUGCGGAAGGAUCAUUAUCGAGUUUACAACUCCCAAACCAUUGUGAAUCUUACCUUUUCGUUGCUUCGGCGGGAUCGCCCCGGGCGCUUCGGUGCCCCGGAUUCAGGCGCCCGCCGGGGGACCUAAACUCUUGUAUUAUAGUGGAUUUCUGAGUGGAUUACACAAAUAAUCAAAACUUUUAGCAACGGAUCUCU